UAUCCUACGGGACGCAGCAGUGGGGAAUAUUGGGCAAUGGGCGCAAGCCUGACCCAGCAAUGCCGCGUGAAGGAAGAAGGCUUUCGGGUUGUAAACUUCUUUGACAGGGGAAGAGCAGAAGACGGUACCCUGAAAACAAGCCACGGCUAACUACGUGCCAGCAGCCGCGGUAAUACGUAGGUGGCAAGCGUUGUCCGGAUUUACUGGGUGUAAAGGGAGCGUAGACGGAGGAGCAAGUCUGAUGUGAAAAUCCGGGGCCCAACCCCGGAACUGCAUUGGAAACUGUUUAUCUAGAGUGUCGGAGG
This 305-nucleotide ribosomal RNA is filed under the name uncultured bacterium. RNAcentral's name for it is "bacterial SSU rRNA". It matches the Rfam family "Bacterial small subunit ribosomal RNA", at positions 335 to 655 of the family's 1533-position model. The record is from RNAcentral.